GGGUUGUGAGGUUAAGCGACUAAGCGUACACGGUGGAUGCCCUGGCAGUCAGAGGCGAUGAAGGACGUGCUAAUCUGCGAUAAGCGUCGGUAAGGUGAUAUGAACCGUUAUAACCGGCGAUUUCCGAAUGGGGAAACCCAGUGUGUUUCGACACACUAUCAUUAACUGAAUCCAUAGGUUAAUGAGGCGAACCGGGGGAACUGAAACAUCUAAGUACCCCGAGGAAAAGAAAUCAACCGAGAUUCCCCCAGUAGCGGCGAGCGAACGGGGAGGAGCCCAGAGCCUGAAUCAGUGUGUGUGUUAGUGGAAGCGUCUGGAAAGGCGCGCGAUACAGGGUGACAGCCCCGUACACAAAAAUGCACAUACUGUGAGCUCGAUGAGUAGGGCGGGACACGUGGUAUCCUGUCUGAAUAUGGGGGGACCAUCCUCCAAGGCUAAAUACUCCUGACUGACCGAUAGUGAACCAGUACCGUGAGGGAAAGGCGAAA
This 488-nucleotide ribosomal RNA is filed under the name Escherichia coli. RNAcentral's name for it is "partial 23S ribosomal RNA". It matches the Rfam family "Bacterial large subunit ribosomal RNA", at positions 1 to 519 of the family's 2925-position model. Lineage: Bacteria; Pseudomonadati; Pseudomonadota; Gammaproteobacteria; Enterobacterales; Enterobacteriaceae. The record is from RNAcentral.